CCUACGGGGGGCAAAGAGGGGAAUAUUGGACAAUGGGCGCAAGCCUGAUCCAACCCUGCCUCGUGAGUGAUGAAGGCCUUAGGGUUGUAAAGCUCUUUCGUCAGGGAAGGUAAUGACGGUACCUGAAGAAGAAGCCCCGGCUAACUUCGUGCCAGCAGCCGCGGUAAUACGAAGGGGGCUAGCGUUGCUCGGAAUCACUGGGCGUAAAGCGCACGUAGGCGGCUUUCUAAGUUAUAGGUGAAAUCCCGGAGCUCAACUCCGGAACUGCCUUUGAUACCGGAAAGCUUGAGUUCGGGAGAGGUGAGUGGAACUGCUAGUGUAGAGGUGAAAUUCGCAGGUAU
RNAcentral lists this ribosomal RNA (341 nucleotides) under uncultured bacterium. RNAcentral describes it as "bacterial SSU rRNA". It matches the Rfam family "Bacterial small subunit ribosomal RNA", at positions 338 to 697 of the family's 1533-position model. The record is from RNAcentral.